UGGGGAAUAUUGGACAAUGGGCGAAAGCCUGAUCCAGCAAUACCGCGUGUGUGAAGAAGGCCUUAGGGUUGUAAAGCACUUUCAAUUGGAAGGAAAAAAGUGAGGUCAAUACCCUCACUCUUGACAUUACCUUUAGAAGAAGCACCGGCUAACUCCGUGCCAGCAGCCGCGGUAAUACGGAGGGUGCGAGCGUUAAUCGGAAUUACUGGGCGUAAAGGGUGCGCAGGCGGUCGUGUGUGUCAGAUGUGAAAUCCCGGAGCUUAACUCCGGAACUGCGUCUGAAACUACACGACUAGAGCAUUGGAGAGGGAAGUGGAAUUCAUGGUGUAGCAGUGAAAUGCGUAGAGAUGUGGAGGAACACCGAUGGCGAAGGCAGCCCCCUGGGCCAAUACUGACGCUCAUGCACGAAAGCGUGGGGAGCAAACAGG
This 428-nucleotide ribosomal RNA is filed under the name uncultured bacterium. Its description in RNAcentral is "bacterial SSU rRNA". It matches the Rfam family "Bacterial small subunit ribosomal RNA", at positions 355 to 776 of the family's 1533-position model. The record is from RNAcentral.